UCUAUGAUUCUGUGAUUCUGUAUUGUUUUGCAUCAUUUAAAUCUUUUUUUUUUUCUGAUUUUGGACACCUGUGCAUGAGAACUAUAUGAGUAGAUAAUUUCAUGCAAGCAAAACAUCUGUCAGACGUUUAUAUCAUCACCAAUGUGAGCCAGAAUCAUGCUGGCAAUUUGCAACUGAAUGUUCUGUAUCCAGCAUCCAAGCCACUAAGAAAUCCACUUUUCAUGUUCUAGGACAAUGCUGAUGCCUGAGGGGGAGGAGAGGUGUCCAGGUGGUGUCACAUUAGCAACCAGAAUAGUAUUAUUUGUCUCAGCUUUGUGAGAAAGUUUUGCAUUGCCCAAAGGAGACACAGAAAGCCAAGUGCAAUUCUUCCAGUAGAGGCAGUAUAAUCAUAAUACAUGAUUAGCCAUUAUGAUCUCCUGUCAUUUCACACUAGGUGAAUUAUGGCUCUCACGCAGGGAAUGCAAGACUACAGAUGGAGCGCUGUCUGUUACAAAUCUCUUGUAAAGCUGCUGCUGUAAAUCUGGAGAAAAGUCAUUGCAUAAAACAAACAAAACAGACAAAGCAAAACCUAUGCUGAAGGAACUUGUCUUUGUUUUCUUAGAGAAGAUGGUGUUUGGGAAGGUACUGUUCUACUCUGCGCUCAUUAAUGUCAUGCAAGGAAGCCUUCAUCGGGGAAUAUUUACCUUUUUCUCAAAGACAAGAAAAGAGAUGUGACAAUAUUUAACAUGCAGUUGGAUUACUGUAUGGUAUUUUCCAUGAGAGGGAAGGAGUAGAGAAACCACUAUCCAAACUGUCUUAAGCUGUAAUGGACCUUAUAUUAGCUAAAUCAUUGGCCAAAUAGAAGUUCCUAGGUUGCGGAUGCCUCCUCUCUGCAUGAAUUCAAGAUCAGGUUGGAUGGGGCUUCAGGCAGUCUGAUCUAGUGGGCAUGGAGGUUGAAACUAGGUGGUCCUUAAGGUCCCUUCCAACCCAAACCAUUCCUUCCUUCUAUGAGUCUAUGCCACUAUUUUGGAUUAUUGACUAUGAAGGAUAUCUGCAUCAUGUUCAGAAUUUGUGUUCAACUCAGGUGCGGGCUUAAGACUAUUGUGCCAUACCUUUGACACAAAAGCUUAUUCGUAUGCUAUAAGUGAAUAGACAUUGAUGAAGAUGGGGAUGAGUUACAUCAGCAAGGUGAAUAGAGAGAUGGAACUGUGAUAGACUAAUACAGAUCCAUACUGCAGUUGGCAGUACACAUACAGUCAGUGAAGCAGGUGGUGACAGCUGAAAGAAAAUACAAAAGGCUUACUCACUGAUUUUUGCAUGACUUUUUUUUUUUUUUUUUACAUAGAAUGGGUUUUAAGGCAGUGACUGAUUAUCUGAAGAAACGCACUUGUUCUAUAACAUUGAGGUCUAUCUUUAAAAUAAGAGUAUAAAAAAUUUGGAAAGCAAUUUAGUUGUAUACAAUGUCCACCACUCCAAUAAAAAACAAGUACAAAUAUAUGUAAAGAGGAAUGAAAAUUUAUUUGAAAUUGAGGCUUUCAAUUUAUAUGUUUCCUGCACACAUAAAAAUGGUAAUCUCUAAGCUUAUAACAAAGUGCCUUGCUUAGUGGAAGCCUGUAGGUGCUCAUAAAAAUGUUUAAAUAUGGAGUGUUAGGUUAUUUUUUCUGUCUCAUGGAAAAUAUGGAGACUUUCAGAAGUUCUGUGCAUCCAUCAGCUCCUGUUUAUCUUGAUUUUCUUUUUAGAAAAAAAAAAAAAUCUAUUGCUUAUUUAAGAAAAUAAUUUAACUUUGGAAAGAGAUGGAGCUUGUGUUGGAGUUCAAUACUUACAGGUUCUAGACAAUUGAAUGAUACUAUGAACAAUAUAAAUGCAUCCAGCAGAUUUUUUGUUGCAUUUUUUCAACAGUAUUAGAUAUUGGACUGCCCAUGUUCCUUGAACCAGGCUUGUACUUCAUGAUAUCAGAUGUGAGAUAUGUUUUAUUAUUUAAAUCACUUAUUCUGUAGAAAGCAAUAGUAAUGUUGUGAAUUUGAUGGGUGAUAAUUUUUUUGUUGUUGUUUCAGGAGAAAAUUUAGCUGCACCUCUAUGUUACCUAUGGGAAUAAUGGAUUUAAUGUGUUAGGACAGAGUGCAUAUAGAAGGAAUAGCAUAUCUAGUUUCCUCUGCAGUUCCUCAAGUAAUGAGUAAUGGCAUUUCAGUGAUUAUUUGUUUUUCUAGAACAAUACUCGUUAACAUUUCAGAAGUCAUUUGCUGAUUGUUAGGAACUAGGCCUCAGUUUGGCAAAAAGUUUUAACCAUAAUAUUUUCACAAAAGUUCUCAGUGCUAUCUUGAUGUUUAUCUUUAAGCUCAUUGCUAAGUGCUUUGCUUAGUGAAAGCCUGCUGGUUUUUCUAAGAAUGAUGAAAAAUCUGAUCUGGUGUUAUGUUAAUUUUCCUUCCUGUCAAGGACAUUUGCAAAACCUUAAAAAUCUUAUCCCUUCAAUUAAAUGCUUGGAUAAAGGUCUUCUAGCAUUCUGAUUCCAUGUUGCCUUAUUCCAGCAUCUUUACAUUUCUUUUAAAUUGUUUUUCUUUUCUAUAUCAGAUUCUAGCCUGCAAAUUGCUGCAGUCAUGGAGACAGUAUGCUGUAGUGACACAAAUGGCGUACACCCAAUUCCUGAUAUCUGCUGAGCUCUGCUGUGACACAGAUAUCUAUUCAGUUAGGUGCCAUCAGCUUCCUACACAAAAAUACGUCAUGGGAAGAAUGAAAGGAAGAUAGAUUAAAAGAGUCAAGUCACACCAAGCCCAGCAAUGUAGUAAUUCUCCAUUAACGUGCUAUAAAAUAGCAUUGUGUACAUUGAAUACCAGAUCAUUGUCUGGUGUUCAAGCAAGUUCUAGACUGGCCAGUGGCUUACUUCGCAAGUUCAUACCUCCUGUACACUGCUACUGUUGUGCCUAUAGCAGAAGCAGGGUAGGAUAGUAAUAUCACUAACUAUAGGAGAAUACUUUGGUAUCUCAGGAGAGGAUUUUACAUCUAUAGAGAGCGCUUACCAUAAGCCAUAUUGUCAGCAGGCAUGUGUCUCAGCUUUUCUGUAGCUGAUGCAGCCUCAUACUAACAGCUGUGGUGUCUAAGGCCAUAAAAACCUUGAGCAGGAAAAACCAUCCUUGCCCAUCUGCAAUAUUCACCAUGGAAUAAACGUGAAAGAAAAAACACUGAAUAAUGACUGGCAUUGUUCUUGAAAAGAGCAAGUUCUACUCAUGUCUUCAAACAUUUCUUCGCGUCAGCACUUUUAUCUUUGAUUACCAGGUCUUUGAUUACCUGGAAACUGUGGGCAGCCUGCAGAAUAUGUAGUUGCUUUUGAUUGUUCAUUUGAACUCAGAAGUAUUUUACAGGAACACAAUCAGUCAAUGGUUGGGGUUUUUGGUUUUAAUAUUUUUGUUUGUUUGUUUUUAUUUUGUUGUAGCUACAUCUGUUUCAUUUGGCAAAGUAUUCCAUUAAAUCUUCAAAAAACAUCCACAAAAUAGUUUUAUAACACAUGGAAAGCCAGGAUGUGUUGCAGAUUUUUUUUUCUUUGUCCUUUCUAAAUAGUUAACAGUACUCUAUACUGCUAAUGUACUCAGUACAUUUCUCCUUGCUUUUUUGUGAUAUCAUUCAAUCACCUGCAUUAUGUUUGCCUGAUUCUUCCAUCAUCAAUUUUUUUAAGCUUCCAGGUAAGAGAAUACUUCCAAAAUAAAAGCAAAAGUGGUUUGCAUGUAAAUAGCGGACUGACAUGCAAAAUGUUGUAGAAGAUAUUUGAAGAUAUGUUAUUGAUGAUAGGUGACACUGAGAAACAGUUCUGUUGCUGUCACAUCAAAACAGCUGUGUCAGACACAAGCAAAAGUGUUUAACUUUCACUGAAAUUAAUCACAUGGAAUUGAGACAUUAGUGUGAACGGACCAAGGCAGCAGACAUAAGAACAUAGAAGGAGGGUGGGGUGAGCACUAGUAAUGUUCUAAAGAGGUUUUCAUUAUUCCUUCUGUCACUGUCCCUUGCUGAUUAAAUUCCAGAAACCUGACUGAGGCAGCCAGUUUGAUAUUGUCCAUGGAGAUGUGAACCCAUGCUGAGUACUAACACUGCAGCUUUGCCGAUUUUCAUGUUACACUGGAAAACCCAUAGGACUACUUCAGUUCUGUCCCUGUUGGUGAGUUGCUAAGUUCUGACGAGAGGGUACCAUGUGAACGGAAAAAGCAGGACUCCUUCUCAAGGAUGCAGUCUGUCCUGCAGCCAGUGAGUUACUUGUGUUAUGUUGGAUUCAAGACGCAGGCAAAUCUGACAGGUUCUCCUAGUAAUACUAUCCUUCUGGCUUUGUUUUGCUGGUCUGCUAGCAAUAGAGGCCCUACCCUGAUUCCAGAGAUUUUUGUCUAUUUGGUGGACAGUAUUUGCACUUUUCAUCAGGAGGAAUUUUCUCCGAGACAAAUCCUGUACUGGUUUUGGCUAACACUAGUGGAAAUCUAAGCUGAUGCUGGAUCACAGGGGAAAUUUUUUGAGCUAAGCUGAAUCACUUGGAAAAUUCAGGUUUAGAGAGAUUUUUAUUUUAAUCUCCUUUUGCAGAGAUUCUUCGUUUUUGUGUUGGUUUGACUGUUCAAGCCACACAAUAUAGGGAGAAUAUUUAAAUACAAUUUUUUUGUUCCAAGCACAUUCUGCCAUUAGGAAAUGCCCAAGAAAUGCAUUUAACAGGAAUGUGAUGUUACAGAGAGAUUUUAGAGUUAAAAAGUCUAGGCACAUGGCAGAGAAGGUAAACAACAUGAUAGAUGAAAAAACUCCAGAUCCUAUUAGCUUCUGUUUUUUUAAAUUAACCUUGAAGUUGCUAUGUCUUCUGUGCUUGGCCAUCAUAAGGAUGGGUCAACCUUGCAACAAAUGAGGAGAACAAGAUCUCCCUGUCUGGAAUAAGUCUGCAGUUUUCUGCCCUGAUAGAUCUGGAAGCAUUGCUGGCUGAAAGGCAUUGUUAUGAAUUGUUCUUUGCUAGGGCAAUCGUGCAGUAUAGAGAAGAACAUCUUUCAUAAUCCUGUAAUUAUCUUAUUUUGCAGUGCUAUAAACUUUGGAAGGACUUCUUCAUAAUAUUCCCAUUAGAAUGACUGGAGAAAAGAAUACAACUUGAAGUUUCUGGUUGUACCCAAGGUAGAAAAACAUUUCAGUUUAUUAGUGAUGAAGGAAUGUCUGUCUUCCCCUUCAUUUCAUUCCAAAUAAGUAGUUGUCAUUCAAGUAGCAGUAUUCAGGUGGAACUUGGUAGUACAAGAACUCCUUUCAACCUUUCAUAGAGGUUGAGUGAGAUUUCAAGUUUGUACCAAAAUCUUUGGGCCUCAAGGGCAAUUCAGCUGGAAUAAGAAGUUAUUUACUAGUGCCUGUUUUGCAUUUUACAGUCUUCAUAAGCUUCUGAACCAUUUUCCUGGUUUCAGUAGGAUAGUUCAUUUUCUUCCUGGUAGCUGGUAUGGUACUCUGUUUUGGAUUUAGAAUGAGAAUAAUGUUGACACACUGAUGUUGUAGUUAUUGUUGAGCAGUACUUAGACAGAGCCAAGGACUUUUCAGCUUCUCAAACUGCCCUGCCAGUGAGGAGCUGGGGAUGCACAAGUUGCUGGGAGAGGACACAGGCAGAUCAAAGGGAUCUGAAGGGAUAUUCUGUACCCUAUGAUGUCACAAUGAACAACAAAACUGGGGAGGUUGGAAUCGAUCACUGUGUGUUCUUUCCCCUAUCCCACUGUGGGGAGAGCGAGUGAACCGCUUCUUGGAGCUGAGCUGUCUGACAGCUUAAAACCACAGAUACCAUAUUCUCAGAUCUCGGCAUCUUCAGACUUGAAACCUGAUUCCUGCACUGUGGCUUGAGCCCUCUGAAAAUUAUUCCACAUGCACAAUUUAGUGCUUUUAACCUUCAUCAGCUGUAUUCCCCAUGGCUAGGAGAACUGAAGUCUAUGAAGGAAAUCUGUUUGCUGUGGUGAUUGAAGUGAUUUUAUAUUUUCUUCCUACUUCCCUCGAGUCUUUGUACACAAUUGUGUUGUUACCACCCUUUUCUAGAGAGAUUUUUUCCUCUUUUUUUCUUAGCAAAA
Non-coding RNA from Meleagris gallopavo (turkey), 6023 nucleotides. The record is from RefSeq and is a predicted model, not a curated record. NCBI's taxonomy places the organism in Eukaryota, Metazoa, Chordata, Aves, Galliformes, Phasianidae.